Molecule: long non-coding RNA, 565 nt
Organism: Beta vulgaris subsp. vulgaris (sugar beet)
Lineage: Eukaryota; Viridiplantae; Streptophyta; Magnoliopsida; Caryophyllales; Amaranthaceae
Exons: 2
Source: RefSeq, a predicted model, not a curated record
UAUUUGCUUUCCCCACCAAAAAUUUAUUGGUCGGAUGUAAUAUAAUGCUUUAUUUGGUUUCUUCAACUUGUGGGCAGGUUGUCUCAAGAAGAACUCAUGGCAGAGUUGCCCUCUUUCUUACCAGCUCUUUUUGAUGCAUUUGGAAAUCAAAGUGCUGAUGUCCGCAAGACAGUUGUAUUCUGUCUGGUGGACAUCUAUAUCAUGCUCGGGAAAGCAUUCCUGCCAUAUCUAGAGGGACUUAAUAGUACCCAAUUGCGCUUGGUAAUAAUUUAUGCUAACCACAUCUCACAAGCUAGAACGGGAGCCCCUAUAGAUGCUAGCCAAUGAUGUCUUCAGUAUGGAGUUUUGAUAGUGUUCCAAAUUCAUUGUUGUGUAUUUUGUGUAUGGUGUGAAAAUGCAAUUCGUUUGUGUGGGUGUAUCCAUUUGUGGCAUUAUGGUUUAGAAAUAUAGUUUUUGGUGUCCACCCUCUUGUUUGACGCUGGUGGGAGGUGGUUAUGUGGUGGUGAGUGGAAAGAAAUUGUAUGAAUUGUUUUUCUUGUCAAUAUUAAAUUAUUCUUUCGAAUCA